Saccostrea cuccullata (small rock oyster) is the source of this 1146-nucleotide long non-coding RNA. RefSeq lists it as uncharacterized. The transcript is spliced from 4 exons. Lineage: Eukaryota; Metazoa; Mollusca; Bivalvia; Ostreida; Ostreidae. The record is from RefSeq and is a predicted model, not a curated record.
UGUAAACAGCUUACUCAGGAACUGAGGAAGCAGAAUGUUCAAGGCAACCAGAAGAUUGAGUCCAUCCUGAACAUAGAGACAACACAGAUACUAGCAAAGCUGGAUAAUAUUGCUAGAGGAUUAGUUAAUGCAACUCAGCAAGGACUAGUGAUGGAUAUGUUCCAGGUUCCACAGCUAGGAGUAUGUCAGGAAGAAAAGCCUCAUCAUUAAAAGUGUUACAGAGGCACUAAAGGAAACUGAUGGCAUUGUUUUUGUGUGGGUGAUGAGAAUAAGAGUGAGGAGGAGAUAGAUGAUAGUCGAGACAAUCAGGAUGUCCAUACUGUCACUCCAGGGAAGAAGAAGUCAUUUCUGAUCCUAGAUCUACUGUGGAAGAUUCUACAUGCAAGUGACAAGAGAUACAAAAAAAUCCCAAAGACAUCAUGAAAAAUUAAUUUAAUCAACAGACAUUGUGGAAAAGAUUUUCUAAAAAAAUUGUAAUAGGACCUUAGAGAAGUGUAAAACACCAAGGAUAUAAUCUUGUUAAAAACAGAGAAAAUCUUGAUUAACAUUCUACUUUCAAUUGAUAUACUUUGAGAAAUAUGAAAAACACUGUUUUAGAGCCACAGUAAUGGAGGACAUUGAAUUCUUUGCAGCAGUUUUAUCAUUAGGCCAUUCCAAUUUUUUUCUGUGUGUAGUGUCUGCAGAUGGAUUGGUAUUGAGGUCAUGCAAAUUAAGAACAAACACAAAAUAAAAUUGACAAAUACAAAUCUUUGACAAGCAAUUUACUCUUCUGGGAUCAGCAUCUCUCUUUUUUUAAAAGUGAUGUGCUAAAUUUUUUUUUUUUUUUUUUUUUUUUUUUUUUUUUUUUGUUUCAUUAAACUAGUAGUAGUAGUAGUUUAAUUUAGCUAUAAUAUGAGGAAAAUUCUCAAAUGAUGCUAAAGGAGUUAUAGAACUUUGCGUAAAAUGUUGUUUUUUCCCCUUUUGGUUUGUGAUUUUUUUUUGGAAGGAAAGAAAUGUUUUGAAAUUAAGGUUGGAUGCUAAACAAAGAAAAAAACUUGGAAUGGCCUCAUAUAACCUACAUGGACUAAACUUGCAUAAAUGAAGAGUGCUUAAGAAGCUGUGCAUGAUGUAUGUAGGAAAUGAUUUUGAAGUAUUAAAUAUUUUAUG